GGCGGGUCCCGCAGCGAUGUUCGCUGCUGCCUCCCGUCGCUCGACGGCUGCCCGCGCCCGCGGCCUGGCGGGUGCCGUGUGACCUCGCGGCGGGGCUGGCCAGGCGUGCGGGGAGGGGCAGCGAGGGGCUGCGGGCGCUGCCCGUGCCGGUGGUGAGAGCGGUGAGCUGAGGCCAGCGUUCCCAGGGCGAGGAGGGGCGCCCGGCAUCCCCCCGCUGCCCUCCCUGCCACACGUGUCCGUUUCAAGCGAAACCGGGGUCCCUACAGCGACGAGCGCAGCGAGGAGUGGGGAGCCCGCUUGGUGCCGUGCCGGCCGCUCCUGCCCAGCCGCGGCUCAUCGGCCGCCCAUGCUGCGCUCCCCUGAGGCAUUUUCCCUUGCCUCCUGGGAAAAAAGAUGUGGAGCAAAGGUACAGCACUGGAGGGAAUUCAUAGGGCAGUACUGGAAGAUGUCCAAACCACUGGACUUUGUCCUUCAUUGCAGUGUGAUUGAGUCUUAGUAUAAUUGGAGAAGUGCUGACUGUCAGCAACAUCAAAUUUUUAAAAAAUUCUUAAUUCUGUCAAAACAAGAAAGGAGGAAACUGGUGAAGAUGAAAUCCUUUGGACUUAAAUCCGCCUACUCAACAACUACAGGGGUAGUUAUAUUGUGUACUCACAUAUUUUAGCACUGAAAGGAUAUUGGGAGUCGCCUAAAGAGAUGUUUCCUAUGGAGUACUAUAAAACUGCCAUAAGUGUAACAAGUUUUUCGUACAGUAGUUUCAGCACAGAUGUAAUCUAUGUACAAUCUUGGAUGUUUAAUCCUGCUGGCUCAAGAGCCAGUGUUGAGCUUUCCUGUUUUAAAUCAAGUCUUACAGCUCUGCAGGGAUCACUGCACCAUGACAUUGUGACAAGGGGAUGCUGAUUCAUGCAUAAACCUUAGAUCCUUUCAUUAUAUCUUCAACCAGCAGCUUUGAAAACCUAUGAAUAUCUAGCAUGUUGCAACUUGAGAGUUAUGGCAAAGGUUUCCCCAGCCAUUUUGGAAUAUAAUGCUAUAGCUUUCAUUCUUGAAUUGAAUAGCAUUCAGCACUCUGCUGGCAAAAUGCUUAAAGAAUAAUGAAAAAAAAAUCCUUUAGCAUUAAGGAUGGGAGAAAUUUAGACAUACUUAAUUAAAAUUACUGUGGACCAAGCCUAAAUGUAUUUUGCAAUAAAUUACUAGAACUAGAACUGAUUUUAAGGGAAGGAGGAAUUUAUUAGCUGCCUGUGUUUCAGUUCAUUUGUAUUCCUGGUCCUUUUCAUUUCCUUUUCACUAUAAAACAUUUCUCAGGCUCAGUGAGCAGAUGUGAAAUAGGUUCUGUGACUCCUUGUAAUUAAAAUGGUCAAGAUCAGAUGGGUUUCUGCAGUAAUAGUGGUACAAUAAAACCAGGAUGUAGCCUGCAGUGGGAAUUCUUGUGCUUUUGUUGCUCUCAAAACAUUUUCCUCUCAAAAUCUAGCUCUGUAGCAAACUAUAAACAUUCUUCUGCUCCUGAGAGUUAUUUGUGAAGAAACUUGGAGUAUUUAUUGUGUGACAGGGCUGUGCAUCUUUGUGUCUGGCUCACAGACCAUUUUCACACAGCCGUGAUCCAGAAUGGGGGCAGCUACAAAUAUGACGGUUUUCUCUUGCCUACUUUACUUUUCAGAUUUUUAUUAUGUGAUUAUUGCAUUAAUUUUCUCUAUAUAUCUGAAAUAAUUUACCAUACAGUUUUGAAUAUAGUAUGAAUAUAUAUUUUACUCUUAAAAAUCUGAAAAUGAGUUAUAUUUAAUAGUAGUUUGUGAGUAGCAUGUCAAUCAAGCCUUAAAUAUACCAGUCAAACUCUUCAAUAAACCAGUAUUAUCAGUCAAUCUCUUCAAUAUAUUACUAUGUUUAUAUAUGAUUUUAUUUAUAUUAAUAUAUGAAAAUGUAGUAACUUUUUCUAUUUAUGCUAAUGACAGUUUUAAUUUACAGUGACUUUGAUAGCUGUGAUUGCACAUAGUUGGGGAUGCACUUAACUCCUUGCAUACAUAAGACUUCCUUUACUAUCCAGUGUAUGUUAUGCACCCUAAACCAAGCACCACUGCAUUAAAUGAUGUUGUUACUGCCGAUUUCAUUGGUUCUUUUUUCAAGUUUCUCAUAAUUAAAAUAUUUUUGAGAAUUAAGCCGUGUUCAACAGAAAAUAAUCCUUUCUGAGCAGUUGAUAAUUACUAGGAAAGUAUAUAAUAACUGGGAACAUAUUGGCUUGAAAAUGCAAUAAACAGGUAAAGACUAUUAUGUUAUUAUGUUGAAAAUUCAAAUAGCAUAAUUUGUCAGGCAUCUUCUGUGAAAAUAUGACUGAAUUGUUAAAAAUAUUUUCUCAAGGAAAAUAUAAUUUUAAUUUCUUAUAUGUGCUGAUAGGAAUAAUUUUUGGAAAACUAAAAAGAGGACAGAACCCAUAGUAAACAUAAAUGUAUACAUAUAUGGAUAGAUAUGUAUGUGUGUAUAUGCACACGUAUAUAUAAAGGUACACAUAUAUGUACUUAACAUAGUGAACAGUGUUUUAUUUUGAAUGUCAGAUAAAUAAAAAGCAGGAUGUUGGUUAAACAAUUUAUUUUCUGAAGAGGAUUGUCUCAGAGCACUUACUAAUUUUUUAUUUCAAGGUUCCUGUUCAUAUUCUGGAAACAACAUCACAACAACUCAAGGCAUGGAAUGUCAGGUCAAACUGAAAAUAACACUGAAAAGAUACCCCAAUAGGUAAAAUAUGUAGUUGUUUAUAUCAAACUCUCUCUCUGUGUAUAUGGGAUAAUGUACAUAUACCCAUAUGUAUAUGGAUAAGCAAUAAGGAGUGACUAAAAUCAUCAGAUAAACAUAGUGAAUGCGUAUUGUAAACCAGAUCAACAGUAAGGAGCAAAAGCAGGUUUUAAAUAACCACAUGUUGAACAAAUUCAUAUUGGACCUUUUAAAAUCAAUAACUGUGCUUAAAGUACAGCUAUUGUAUUUAUUUGUGUGCACUUAGAGUGAUAUAGAUGUCUUUUGAAAUACUGCUUAUUUUUCUUUAUCUGUCCUUAUAUAGGACCACCACAGAACAUUUUUUGCUAUCUAAUGCAACACUGCUGUGCCCCCUUGUUUAACAACUAUUCCACCACAAAUCUUUGAUUAUUCUUUUCUUUUUUUUAGUGGUUAUUUUAAGAAAAUUUCUCAAAUCACACAAUUUAUAGGGAGUUUACCUUUUCCCCCAGAGUUCUCAUGUAGGUAAUUAUUGUAGAGAGUUAACAUUCCUGUCCUGAAUCUGAUUUAAUGUACAGAUACCGAUGCAUCAUUUAACUAUGGCUAGUCACUUUAUGAAAGUGUAAAAAAAAUUUUACAAGACAGAUAUUCACUGUGAUUCUGCAACAAGGUGUGGUUCAGCUCUAGCUACUCCUGUCCCCAACCACCUGCUCCCAAACCUGAAUCAAAGAAAUUAAAAGGGUUUUUUUGAGAGUUGAAGUGUUACAUGCAGUUCAAAUAAAGGUGACAGUCUCAAGCAAAAGAAAGGUUUUAUUUCAGCUCUAAUCUACUGUUUUAUUUGAUAUCAGAGAAAAAAUAUUCAGGUCUGUAUUCAUUAUCUUAAAUCGGUGUGUGGUUGUUUGUAUGUUUGGGAUGCUGCCUCUGUAAUUGAAUUACCAGUCACUUCAUCUAGGACUUACUGGGCUCUAUUGCACAUGGAAAUAGCGUCUUCAUUACUUAACUACAGAAGGUAAAUGUGCUUGCAUUUCACUAUUAAAAAGAAAGAGUACUUUACCAUUUGUGUUUUUAAAUGGGCAUUAUUUUUCCCCAGUGAUUCUUCCAAUGAAAAAGAAUGGGGCAAAAUUCAGUAAAAUGUUCAUAUUGACCCUGACUAUAAAUGUGUAGUCAUACAACUCUUAGAAGAGUUUCAAAGCUCAAUAAGGGACAGUGGCUAACUGUAUGAAAUAUUCAAAAUAGAUGUAUGAACACAUGUUUACUAUGCUAUCUCACCUAUUCAGUUUAAUCUCAAUUUCAGGUAGUUAAUAUUGAAAAAACAUAAUUGAUUUGAUGCUGCAAUUUUUCAGGCUGCCGUGGUUAAAGCUGUCAUACCCCUGUAAUUUAUUCUAGAAGUUUACAAACAUGACUUGGGCUAUAAUAGAUGCCUCUGUUUAUUACAGGUGGUGUGAACUGAUUUUCUUUCAUACACUUUGAAGAUUACAAACACCAGCUUCUUUCUAAGCACUUGAUAUGAUAGAUAAUUUAAAUAGGAGUCUGCUAGGUAAUGUGGAGAGUUUUCUCAUCUCUAUGCUUUCCGGGCUCGUGUCAGCAACAGGGCGAGAGAGCUCGCAGAACAGUCUUGCAAAUGCUUUCCAGCGUGGAGAAGGGAUUUGUUUUCUUUGGUUUUCUGCCUCGUGAAUGUAUUUGGUGGUUGUAGGACUCUGGUUUAUAUUCAUAAAAUUAAAAGGCUAAUGUGGUUUACCA
This is a long non-coding RNA of Pipra filicauda (Wire-tailed manakin), 4431 nucleotides long. RefSeq lists it as uncharacterized. The transcript is spliced from 2 exons. Lineage: Eukaryota; Metazoa; Chordata; Aves; Passeriformes; Pipridae. The record is from RefSeq and is a predicted model, not a curated record.